RNAcentral lists this long non-coding RNA (669 nucleotides) under Ananas comosus (pineapple). RNAcentral's name for it is "long non-coding RNA (ACOM_LNC017665)". Lineage: Eukaryota; Viridiplantae; Streptophyta; Magnoliopsida; Poales; Bromeliaceae. The record is from RNAcentral.
UGACACCCCAAUAGUCUCACAUCGGAUGGGAAUGGGGUUGUCAAUUGGUUUAUAUGAAGACUUAGGCACUAGUAAUAAUAAUUGGAUUUAAGCAUUUUGGGCCGGUGUUUGGGCCCAACGAGUUAUUGUUGCUAGUGGGCUGGGUCGUUACAUUUAGUAUCAGAGUCAGUUCACCAGCCGAAAGUGUGAGAUGAGUCUUGGCUGAGCCAGGGUCGAAAUGGCAGACUAAAACAUGGUUGGUGAUUGACAGGCUAAGUCAGAGUCGGAAUGACAAAGGCUAGCGGGACAAGUCUCACACCACUUGGUGAUUUUGGGCUGUGUGUGUUUAGGGCUGACGAGGACGUCAGGGACUAAACGGAGGGAGUCUGUGACACCCCAAUAGUCCCACAUCGGAUGGGAAUGGAGUUGUCAAUGGGUUUAUAUGAAGACUUAGACACUAGUAAUAAUAACUGGGCUUAAGCAUUUUGGGCCGGUGUUUGGGCCCAACUAGUUAUUGUUGCUAGUGGGUUGGGUCGUUACAAUUAUAAAGCUCAUAGGCUAGCCGAGAGACGAGUCAACCAAUUGGCACUCGACCGUUUCUUCCCACGUAUUCAACUCCGCCUAAAAUUGCUUUUUCGUUUCAGGCAUGCUUUUCUCAGCUCCAGGUGUACCACGUGUCACUUCAUAUAU